Molecule: ribosomal RNA, 301 nt
Filed under: uncultured bacterium
Lineage: Bacteria
Description: partial 16S ribosomal RNA
Rfam family: Bacterial small subunit ribosomal RNA
Source: RNAcentral
CAGUCGCCGCGGGAAUACGAAGGGGGCUAGCGUUGUUCGGAUUUACUGGGCGUAAAGCGCACGUAGGCGGACUUUUAAGUCAGGGGUGAAAUCCCGGGGCUCAACCCCGGAACUGCCUUUGAUACUGGGAGUCUUGAGUUCGAGAGAGGUGAGUGGAAUUGCGAGUGUAGAGGUGAAAUUCGUAGAUAUUCGCAGGAACACCAGUGGCGAAGGCGGCUCACUGGCUCGAUACUGACGCUGAGGUGCGAAAGCGUGGGGAGCAAACAGGAUUAGAUACCCCGGUAGUCCCUGUCUCUUAUAC